GAUGAACGCUAGCGAUAGGCUUAACACAUGCAAGUCGAUGAUGGGAAGCUAAGCCUAGCUUAGAAGAAGUCAUGGCGGACGGGUGAGUAACGUGUAAAGAACUUGCCCUCUAGACUGGGAUAACAGAUAGAAAUGUCUGAUAAUACCGGAUAUUAUUGUUACAUGGCAUCAUGUAGGAAUGAAAGGAUAAGAUUGCUAGAGGAGAGCUUUGCAUCCUAUUAGCUAGUUGGUAAGGUAGCGGCUUACCAAGGCGAUGAUAGGUAGCCGGCCUGAGAGGGUGGACGGCCACAAGGGGACUGAGAUACGGCCCUU
Molecule: ribosomal RNA, 312 nt
Filed under: uncultured bacterium
Lineage: Bacteria
Description: bacterial SSU rRNA
Rfam family: Bacterial small subunit ribosomal RNA
Source: RNAcentral